RNAcentral lists this ribosomal RNA (253 nucleotides) under uncultured bacterium. Its description in RNAcentral is "partial 16S ribosomal RNA". It matches the Rfam family "Bacterial small subunit ribosomal RNA", at positions 524 to 776 of the family's 1533-position model. The record is from RNAcentral.
UACGUAGGGUCCGAGCGUUGUCCGGAAUUACUGGGCGUAAAGAGCUCGUAGGUGGUUUGUCGCGUUGUUCGUGAAAACUCACAGCUUAACUGUGGGCGUGCGGGCGAUACGGGCAGACUGGAGUACUGCAGGGGAGACUGGAAUUCCUGGUGUAGCGGUGGAAUGCGCAGAUAUCAGGAGGAACACCGGUGGCGAAGGCGGGUCUCUGGGCAGUAACUGACGCUGAGGAGCGAAAGCGUGGGGAGCGAAUGGG